AGAGUUUGAUCCUGGCUCAGGAUGAACGCUGGCGGCGUGCUUAACACAUGCAAGUCGAACGGGAUCCAUCAAGCUUGCUUGGUGGUGAGAGUGGCGAACGGGUGAGUAAUGCGUGACCGACCUGCCCCAUGCUCCGGAAUAGCUCCUGGAAACGGGUGGUAAUGCCGGAUGUUCCACAUGAUCGCAUGUGAUUGUGGGAAAGAUUCUAUCGGCGUGGGAUGGGUCGCGUCCUAUCAGCUUGUUGGUGAGGUAACGGCUCACCAAGGCUUCGACGGGUAGCCGGCCUGAGAGGGCGACCGGCCACAUUGGGACUGAGAUACGGCCCAGACUCCUACGGGAGGCAGCAGUGGGGAAUAUUGCACAAUGGGCGCAAGCCUGAUGCAGCGACGCCGCGUGAGGGAUGGAGGCCUUCGGGUUGUAAACCUCUUUUGUUUGGGAGCAAGCCUUCGGGUGAGUGUACCUUUCGAAUAAGCGCCGGCUAACUACGUGCCAGCAGCCGCGGU
RNAcentral lists this ribosomal RNA (503 nucleotides) under uncultured Bifidobacterium sp. RNAcentral's name for it is "bacterial SSU rRNA". It matches the Rfam family "Bacterial small subunit ribosomal RNA", at positions 8 to 521 of the family's 1533-position model. The record is from RNAcentral. Lineage: Bacteria; Bacillati; Actinomycetota; Actinomycetes; Bifidobacteriales; Bifidobacteriaceae.